RNAcentral lists this long non-coding RNA (1548 nucleotides) under Sorghum bicolor (sorghum). RNAcentral's name for it is "long non-coding RNA (SBIC_LNC003084)". Lineage: Eukaryota; Viridiplantae; Streptophyta; Magnoliopsida; Poales; Poaceae. The record is from RNAcentral.
AUGCUUGAUGAGAAUGCUUAUGCAUGUUGUAAUAGGGCUAAAUGCAUGCUUAACACCUAGGGUGUUACAGCACUGUGCUGGUCCUAGGCUAGACCGUGCUAGAGACGUGAGCCUAGGCACAGAUGAAGUCACAAUAUCGCAAGAAUAAUAAGAACAACAAGAGAUAACUUCCCUUCUUUUCCUCUUCCUUUCUUUUCUUUCCUUUUUUUCUAUUCUUUCCUUUUUCUUUUCUUUUUUUUUCUGAUAUUUUUUGUUUCUUUCUUUUUUUUCCUACUUUGCUCAACUAAAAUAAAUCUGAAUCUUGAUGGAUUAGAUUUCAGAAAACACACAAUGUCUUUAGUGUAACAAAAAUACAACUAGCAGAUUAUGAUGGUGACAUGAUGCUGCAGUAACACUGAUUGCAACGGGAUGAGAAAAAUAGAAUGUGAAAGAAGAGUGGAGGAGAGGCAAAAGGAUGCGCAUGAAGUGGACAAGGAUGCAAUGUUCUAAAAUUAGAUGCCCAAGAGUGGAAUGAAUCUAGUGGUUGCAAUAGGAUGCUGAUUAAAAAUAGGAUGCUGAUUAUAGAAUGUGCAAGAGCGCUUACAAUAGGAUGUAUGAAUGGAAGAAAGGAACAUGCAGGUAGAAGUGAGUAAGAAUAGGUUGCUCACGGGUGGAAGUGAAAACGUGCAUGCAAUGGCCUAAAAAUAUAGGGUGCGCAUGAGUGAAAAGAGAGUGGUGGAUGGAGUUUACACGGUGCCCAAGUAGGGUGGUGAUGGUAGUUCAGAUAUAUAGUGUAGUCCAAAUGUAUAUGGUAAUAGUGUUGCAGCGGAGAUUAUACGAUGGGCAAUGACUAAAACGUGACAAAAACUCGAAACUCUAAAAGUCUAAACCUAAGACCAGCAACUCGACUCAACCGAUGUAAAUCAAACACAACAAGCCUGAACUAAGUAGUACUAGUAAAAGGCUCAAAGGGUCUAUAGGAUGGUAGAAAUGAAAGUACUAUUUUUCUUGGCUUUUUCUAGGCAAUAGGAAAAAAAUGCAAACUAAAUUCUCUCACCGAUGAAUCCUUGAUCUGAUACCACUUAAUAAGAACGAGGGUGUCCCGAUCUUUCGGUGGAGAUGGAUAACUUCGAUCUCUCUGGAGCGACGUUCACGAUCCGACUACAACCGUCCAAGGAUGCUGCGCCUUAGCGAUCGAUACACCAAUUCCAGCGGUUGAUCACGAUCUUGUUGAUCACAACCAACCAAACCACUAGGGUAAUUCCUGCACGCAAUCGAAGAACAUGCAAGAACAGAUAGAACAGGCACUCAAUUGCCAAAUAAUACAAGAAGGAUCUGAUAUGAAUCACGAUAACAAUAUGGGGUUUUGAAUCAAGUAGAACGGAUGGUCUAGUCGACACAUGCGUCUACAAGGAAGUAGCAAUGGCUAAACUUACAACAAAACAAAACCCGUCUUGUGUCUCUGGCUGUAGAAGCCUUUAUGUACAAGAGAGAGCAACCAGAGUGUGCGGUGCUAAUCCCUCGACUCACUAAAAACAAAAGAAAACAAUAAUAUCCAUAUCAUGCAUG